UACUUCGCUGACGAGCGGCGGACGGGUGAGUAAUGCCUGGGAAUAUGCCUUGAUGUGGGGGAUAACUAUUGGAAACGAUAGCUAAUACCGCAUAAUGCCUACGGGCCAAAGAGGGGGAUCUUCGGACCUCUCGCGUCAAGAUUAGCCCAGGUGGGAUUAGCUAGUUGGUGGGGUAAAGGCUCACCAAGGCGACGAUCCCUAGCUGGUCUGAGAGGAUGAUCAGCCACACUGGAACUGAGACACGGUCCAGACUCCUACGGGAGGCAGCAGUGGGGAAUAUUGCACAAUGGGGGAAACCCUGAUGCAGCCAUGCCGCGUGUAUGAAGAAGGCCUUCGGGUUGUAAAGUACUUUCAGCAGUGAGGAAGGUGGUAGUGUUAAUAGCACCAUCAUUUGACGUUAGCUGCAGAAGAAGCACCGGCUAACUCCGUGCCAGCAGCCGCGGUAAUACGGAGGGUGCGAGCGUUAAUCGGAAUUACUGGGCGUAAAGCGCAUGCAGGC
Molecule: ribosomal RNA, 499 nt
Filed under: Photobacterium sp.
Lineage: Bacteria; Pseudomonadati; Pseudomonadota; Gammaproteobacteria; Vibrionales; Vibrionaceae
Description: bacterial SSU rRNA
Rfam family: Bacterial small subunit ribosomal RNA
Source: RNAcentral